AGUCCACUUAAGCCUAGCUUAGUGUUGGGAGUCUACUCUGAGCGGUGCUACCCUGUAGUUACCCUGUAGUUCCUUAAAGACAGCGGCGGAGUUGUGAUACCCUCUGAGCUUAGUAAUUUUUUCCUAGCUUUCGAGUCGUCGCUUCCCCUGCCGUUAAACCCCUCUACCCUUGGUAGUUUUUAAU
This 184-nucleotide unclassified non-coding RNA is filed under the name Mirandina breviphora (nom. inval.). RNAcentral's name for it is "partial internal transcribed spacer 2". Lineage: Eukaryota; Fungi; Ascomycota; Leotiomycetes; Helotiales. The record is from RNAcentral.